UGCGGAGUGGCUCGAACGGUAAGGCGCCGGCCUCAUAAGCCGGAACAUGCGGGUUCGACUCCCGCCUCCGCCACCA
RNAcentral lists this transfer RNA (76 nucleotides) under Phycisphaerae bacterium. RNAcentral's name for it is "tRNA-Met". It matches the Rfam family "tRNA". Rfam says of the family: Transfer RNA (tRNA) molecules are approximately 80 nucleotides in length. The record is from RNAcentral. Lineage: Bacteria; Pseudomonadati; Planctomycetota; Phycisphaerae.